AGGUAUCUGCUGUCGUCCAAGAAAACCUGAUAGCCAUGCGCAAACACAGACGGAGAGAGAGAGAGGAGAACAGGAGUACAUCCAGACCUUUCCCUUCCCAGAGAGACAAAAAUGAAGUAGAAGAGUCCAGAAGAGGCAAAAUCGAACUACAAAAGUUUUAAACCCGAGAUUCAGAUCGCAUUUUUCAACCCCUAAAACCAAAUAGUACAUUUAACCGACUUAACACGAUGGAAGGCAUAAAUCAAAUCUAGGAUAUCAUACUCAACCUGCAUUGCAGAAACGAACACUGUAGCUUAUAUACAUUCUCAAUGUCCUCCGCAAGUCCUCUCUCCAAUGGCUCUGCAAUCUACAAAAGGUUUUUAGAAGAUUAUAAUUUUAAAACUGAAUCACAUAAAAUUUCUGAAAUUAGGUUGCUUCUUACCAGAGUUAUUUUAUUCUUCUUAUUGGAUGUUUCAGCAAAGCAUUUGAUUGACUUCUACAAACAAAAUGAAACAACAGGAUCAACCUACAAACAAAAGCAUAUCCAUCAAGAAAAGAACAUAAAAUUUUACAUUCUUAAGGGGUGGAAAAAUUACUUUAAAAAGAAAAAACGUCAAGAGAGGAUGAGGAUUGGGAGCAAACAAUUACCUUGACUUCUACUUCCAAAUAAAGCUCUCUUAGGUCCUUCAUUAUUCUGACAUACCCUAUAACACAUUAAUUUAUGUUAAAAAAACAUAAAAAUUAAGCACCAAAUCUUUCACUUCAAAUUCCAUAAAAAUCAAACCUCUGAAACAUAAAGUUAUUGGGCUUUCUCUUGUGAGGAGGAGUUCAAAACUCUCCCAUUGCAAUCCUCAUAGAGAAUCGCCACGUCAGCCUUGGAAAAAACUCGAAUCAAAGCAAAAAC
RNAcentral lists this long non-coding RNA (883 nucleotides) under Malus domestica (apple). RNAcentral describes it as "long non-coding RNA (MDOM_LNC014312)". Lineage: Eukaryota; Viridiplantae; Streptophyta; Magnoliopsida; Rosales; Rosaceae. The record is from RNAcentral.